This 700-nucleotide ribosomal RNA is filed under the name uncultured bacterium. RNAcentral's name for it is "bacterial SSU rRNA". It matches the Rfam family "Bacterial small subunit ribosomal RNA", at positions 42 to 788 of the family's 1533-position model. The record is from RNAcentral.
UCAGGCCUAACACAUGCAAGUCGAACGCAGUAGCAAUACUGAGUGGCAAACGGGUGAGUAUAAUGUGGGAAUCUGCCUUUUGGUUUGGAAUAACACGGGGAAACUUGUGCUAAUACCGAAUAAGCCCUUACGGGGAAAGUUUUAAUGCCGAAAGAUGAGCCUGCACUUGAUUAGCUAGUUGGUAAGGUAAUGGCUUACCAAGGCAAUGAUCAAUAGCUGUUCUUAGAGGAAGACCAGCCACAUUGGGACUGAGACACGGCCCAGACUCCUACGGGAGGCAGCAGUGGGGAAUCUUGCACAAUGGGGGAAACCCUGAUGCAGCGAUGCCGCGUGAGUGAAGAAGGCCCUUGGGUUGUAAAACUCUUUCGUCGGGGAAGAAAAUGACUGUACCCGAAUAAGAAGGUCCGGCUAACUUCGUGCCAGCAGCCGCGGUAAUACGAAGGGACCUAGCGUAGUUCGGAAUUACUGGGCUUAAAGAGCUCGUAGGUGGUUAAAAAAGUUGAUGGUGAAAUCCCAAGGCUCAACCUUGGAACUGCCAUCAAAACUUUUUAGCUAGAGUGUGAUAGAGGUAAGUGGAAUUUCUAGUGUAGAGGUGAAAUUCGUAGAUAUUAGAAAGAACACCAAAUGCGAAGGCAACUUACUGGGUCACUACUGACACUGAGGAGCGAAAGCAUGGGUAGCGAAGAGGAUUAGAUACCCU